Molecule: ribosomal RNA, 253 nt
Filed under: uncultured prokaryote
Description: partial 16S ribosomal RNA
Rfam family: Bacterial small subunit ribosomal RNA
Source: RNAcentral
UACAGAGGCCCCGAGCGUUACUGAGAAUCACUGGGUUUAAAGGGUGCGUAGGUGGCGCGUUAAGUCCGUUGUGAAAUCCCUUGGCUCAACCAAGGAAAUGCUUCGGAUACUGGCGUGCUUGAGGCCGGUAAGGGUCACUGGAACUGACGGUGGAGCGGUGAAAUGCGUAGAUAUCGUCAGGAACGCCAAUGGUGAAGACAGGUGACUGGGCUAGUUCUGACACUGAGGCACGAAAGCGUGGGGAGCGAACGGG